Homo sapiens (human) is the source of this 665-nucleotide long non-coding RNA. Ensembl annotates it as SATB1 antisense RNA 1. Its record names the gene SATB1-AS1. The record is from Ensembl. NCBI's taxonomy places the organism in Eukaryota, Metazoa, Chordata, Mammalia, Primates, Hominidae.
GGGAGCUUAGAUGUGGAAGCUCUUUGGAAACCAAGAAACACUCUGAAAAUGAAAAGGAUACCAACUUCAUCUCUCUUUAAGAAUACAAUAUUAGUUUAAAAGAUUGUUCAACUUAAAGCAAUCUUGUAGAGAUUGUCACCCAUGAUUGAUGCUGGCAUAAGAAUGUUUAUCACAGCAUGGCAUAUAUUGGAAGUUUAGUAAAUGAAGAUACAUCCAAUCUGACAUUCUAUUCACAACCACAAAGAGAUAAUGUAGAAACAUAUUUAGUAAUGUGAGAAAAUACUAAAUAUUAAGUGAAAAAGGUCUACAUAAUAAAUCAUUAGAGAAAUGUGAAUUAAAACCAAUGAGUUAUUACUACAGAGUCACUAGAAUGGCUACAACUAAAAGACUGACAAUACUAAGUGUUGUUGAGGAUGUGAAACAAGUGGAAUCACCAUACACUGAUAAUGAGAGUAUAAAAUGACAAAACGACCUAGGAAUUAGUCUGGCAAUUUCUCAUGUAAACAUACACCUGUCCUACGACUCACCAUUUAUGCUUUUAGGUUUUACUAAAAAGAAGUGAAGACAUGUGUCAACAAAAAGAUUUGUACAAGAAUGUUUAAAGCAUCCUUAUUCAUAAUAGCCAGUCACUCCAAUGUCCAUCAAUAAAACAGUAGAUAAACAAA